Molecule: ribosomal RNA, 639 nt
Filed under: Staphylococcus aureus
Lineage: Bacteria; Bacillati; Bacillota; Bacilli; Caryophanales; Staphylococcaceae
Description: partial 23S ribosomal RNA
Rfam family: Bacterial large subunit ribosomal RNA
Source: RNAcentral
UCGAUUCCCUUAGUAGCGGCGAGCGAAACGGGAAGAGCCCAAACCAACAAGCUUGCUUGUUGGGGUUGUAGGACACUCUAUACGGAGUUACAAAGGACGACAUUAGACGAAUCAUCUGGAAAGAUGAAUCAAAGAAGGUAAUAAUCCUGUAGUCGAAAAUGUUGUCUCUCUUGAGUGGAUCCUGAGUACGACGGAGCACGUGAAAUUCCGUCGGAAUCUGGGAGGACCAUCUCCUAAGGCUAAAUACUCUCUAGUGACCGAUAGUGAACCAGUACCGUGAGGGAAAGGUGAAAAGCACCCCGGAAGGGGAGUGAAAUAGAACCUGAAACCGUGUGCUUACAAGUAGUCAGAGCCCGUUAAUGGGUGAUGGCGUGCCUUUUGUAGAAUGAACCGGCGAGUUACGAUUUGAUGCAAGGUUAAGCAGUAAAUGUGGAGCCGUAGCGAAAGCGAGUCUGAAUAGGGCGUUUAGUAUUUGGUCGUAGACCCGAAACCAGGUGAUCUACCCUUGGUCAGGUUGAAGUUCAGGUAACACUGAAUGGAGGACCGAACCGACUUACGUUGAAAAGUGAGCGGAUGAACUGAGGGUAGCGGAGAAAUUCCAAUCGAACCUGGAGAUAGCUGGUUCUCUCCGAAAUAGCU